GGGACUACUGGCUCAUAUGGCAACUCUAUUUUUAGCUUUUUAAGGAAAAAAAUUCUUUAAAAGAUAUGUGAAGCCGCUAAAUUUGGAGGGCUUGCUGCAGGCCUUACACUGCCCUAACUCAUGUGCUAUGAGGGAGGGGUGGGAGUCUUUGGGGAGAGAGUGGGUGUCUUUGUCUUUGUGGGCCAUCAGGCCUCUGUUGUGACUAGUCAGCUCUGCUGUUGCAGCAGGAAAGCAGUCAAAGAAAAUGCAAGAGCAACGCUUGUGGCUGUUUCUUUUUUUUUUCCACAGAGCUGCGUGACCCUAGUUCCCCAACCAGGGAUCAAACCCACGCCCUCUGCAGUGGAAACACAGACUGUUAACCACUGGACCGCCAGGGAAGUCCUGAGUGGCAGUGUUUUAAUAAGACCUUGUAUACACAGACUCCAUGUAUACACAAAGCUCCAAUACUGUGGCCACCUGAUGUGAAGAGCUGACCCAUUGGAACAGUCCCUGAUGCUGGGAAAGACUGAAGGAUUAAUGUCAGACUACGCCCUUUGGGCAGGAAUACGGAUGGCGCCAUGUUCUCACGUGUAUGUCACAUCACGGGGCCCACACUCCGGCUGGCCCCGUUGUUGGGGAAUCUCGCUCCAGAUGCAGAGGUCUUGAUGAAAUGGGAAGAGUUCUGGACUGAGAGAAUACGUUGGUGUGUGCAAAGUGAGUCCAUUGAAUUUCCCGGGAACCUACUCUACUUUGUCCUAAAUUCUUUGUUAACUUUGUCCAGGCCCCUCAGGGCAGUGGGGUGCGACCAUGUUAGAGGGUGACUUUCUUUUACAAAUAAGUUAUUUAUAUAUUUAUUUAGUCAGAAUAUGUUCUUUGACAGUCACAGUCAAGCAUCUUGAAAAUUCUGUGGAAUGUAAAGACGCUUAUUUGGAAACUGCAUGAGAUAAGAACCUCUUCAUGUAGUAACGUUGACUGGGGUUUUUUGGGGAGGAGGGUAUAGGGAGAGAGCAAAUUAGCCCAGAGAGUGUGUUCAGGCUCUCUCCUUCCCGUUCUGUAAAUAAUAACUAUGUAACAGCUGAGCUCAUCUGUAGCACCGUGCAUGCGCACCACGAGAUAUUCUCUUGGUCUCGACUACCUUGUGUGAAAUGCCUCUGUGAACAUCACCUGGAAAAGCCCUGGAGGGUUGUGUACGGUUAUGCUGUGUUAAAUUACGGCUGCUGCACCAGCCAAGAGAGAAGAAAACGUCUGCAGUUCCUACGGCUCCUCGGGUCUCCUUCAGCUUCUCAGCUCACUCCUUGCCUACUCUGGGCUCAACCAACAGUGCUGACGGUGUGAAAAACAAGACAAUUGGCCCUGUGAGCGGGAUCAACAACAGAGAGGGGUGAGGUUAUAUCUGAAAGAAAGCUAAAACUGAUGAAUUUGCAGUUAGAAGUGAAUUUAAUGACAAUUGUUCUUCAACAAAGAAAGACCAAACUGACACCUCUAAGAUGCCACAUCAGAGACGUCUCCACUCAAAAUAGCUUCACAACAGACUGGUUCUCACAUCUUUACUAAUAAACACAAGAUCUCAUCACCAAUGCUUGUGGUGAGGAUUUCACAAUGAUUGGGGGUGUCGUGGCUCAUUUGUGAACCAGAUGUGUCUAAACUGAAAUCUGAAAAUUCUCACUUGGUAAACAGGAUGAUGAAAGCUGGACGUGAAGCGGCCUUGUGGAGGUAUAAGCAUGAAAGAACUGUUUACAUGUUUUUUGAGCUCAAAUUUGGGACAGUUGUUAUUUUACAAGAUUGAAAUUUUCCUUUAUUUACCUGGUGUCUAACUUGGUUCUCAAAUUGUAGUUCAGUUUUAUCCAUGGCAACAAAAACUAGAGUUUGAGAAUGAAGCUUUUAUUUGUUGGGGAAAUGAGAGCCAAAUCAUCUUGUUUGUUUUGGAUACUCAUAAAGAUUGAAGA
Molecule: long non-coding RNA, 1925 nt
Organism: Dama dama (fallow deer)
Lineage: Eukaryota; Metazoa; Chordata; Mammalia; Artiodactyla; Cervidae
Exons: 3
Source: RefSeq, a predicted model, not a curated record